RNAcentral lists this non-coding RNA (28 nucleotides) under Bombyx mori (domestic silkworm). Lineage: Eukaryota; Metazoa; Arthropoda; Insecta; Lepidoptera; Bombycidae. The record is from RNAcentral.
GUGCAGAUGACUGUGUUGGAGACGAUGC